AAAGAUCGAAUGGGGAGAUUCAUCGACGACGAGGCUGGCUUCCGUUGGGCGCGUGAUGCUCCGGAUUAGUUCUCCUUUCGCGGGAGUUCUAGUUGGCGAGGGUACACAGUCUUCGGCAAAUGUUCCGGUCGCGUAGUCGUGCACUUCUCCCCUGGUAGAACGUCGCGACCCGUUGCGUGUCGGUCUACGGCACGAGUUUUCGACUGCCUGCGGCGCCUUGCGCGCUCGCGACAGAGGCUCGUUCGCCCGGCCGGCUGCGCGACGGUACGCUGUGUGGUAAGGUAUAGGGCCGCAUCUAGAUAAUCACAUUGUUUGGGAUGUGUUUUGCGUCGGGCUCGCCGCAAGCCGCGUUAGAUAUAACCGUUGGUACGGACCUGGUGCCGGCUUCGGGUCUAAGCGGCUGUUGGUUGGCAGAGAUCUCUGACUGGCCAGAAGAAAAUACCGGUCAGCGACGCUACUGCUUUGGGUACUCUCAGGACCCGUCUUGAAACACGGACCAAGGAGUCUAACAUGUGCGCGAGUCAUUGGGACA
RNAcentral lists this ribosomal RNA (532 nucleotides) under Pseudaugochlora sp. RBG-2015. RNAcentral describes it as "eukaryotic LSU rRNA". The record is from RNAcentral. Lineage: Eukaryota; Metazoa; Arthropoda; Insecta; Hymenoptera; Halictidae.